Long non-coding RNA from Sinocyclocheilus anshuiensis, 219 nucleotides. RefSeq lists it as uncharacterized. The record is from RefSeq and is a predicted model, not a curated record. The transcript has 3 exons. Lineage: Eukaryota; Metazoa; Chordata; Actinopteri; Cypriniformes; Cyprinidae.
UGGAGAUACGAGGAUCUCUGUCCUUUUCCAAACUGAGCACCCUGGACUGCAGAUCUGAUGUCCUCAGGGACAAUCCUUCUGGAACAACCUGGGGUUACACAGCAGUGAUGGUUCAUUGAGCUUACAGGUCUCUAACCUGCAAACUUUUGCAACUAGGCCUGCGGUUAGCUGAGCAGAUGAGCUUUGGACCUCCAGAAUCAAGAUCGCCGACCUCAAGCA